CACGCAGGCGGUUUCUUAAGUCCUUUGUGAAAGCCCGGGGCUCAACUCCGGAACUGCAUAGGAUACUGGGAGACUAGAGACAGGUAGAGGCUAGCGGAAUUCCUGGUGUAGCGGUGGAAUGCGUAGAUAUCAGGAAGAACACCUGUGGCGAAGGCGGCUAGCUGGGCCUGUUCUGACGCUCAUGUGCGAAAGCGUGGGGAGCAAACA
RNAcentral lists this ribosomal RNA (207 nucleotides) under uncultured bacterium. RNAcentral's name for it is "partial 16S ribosomal RNA". It matches the Rfam family "Bacterial small subunit ribosomal RNA", at positions 568 to 774 of the family's 1533-position model. The record is from RNAcentral.